This 1059-nucleotide ribosomal RNA is filed under the name Triticum aestivum (bread wheat). Its description in RNAcentral is "partial small subunit ribosomal RNA". The record is from RNAcentral. Lineage: Eukaryota; Viridiplantae; Streptophyta; Magnoliopsida; Poales; Poaceae.
AUGGCGAUGGAGGGCUACGACCGCGAGUUCUGGCAGUUCGGCGACCAGCUGCGGCUCCAGACGGCCAGCUUCUCCGGCCUCUCCCUCGGCGACUCCAUCUGGUCCCCCGCCGACGCCGCCCCCCGCGCCCGCAACGCCGACCUCUUCUCCCCCUCCCCGGCGCCCGACAACAACAACGCCGCCAAGAUGAACGGCAACGGCCUCAACGGGCCCGGCCUCAUCGGGUCCGGCAAGCUCGCCUUCGGCGCCACCACCACCAGCAAGGCCGACCGCUACAACAACGUCAGCCUCCCCGCCGCCGCCGACGCCAACGCCAAGCCCUACGGCAACGCCAACGGCCUAUACGGUGCCAAGCCCAACAACGCCACCAACAACGGCUUCGGGCUCAACAAGAUGGCUGCCGGCGGCGGGGGCUACGGCAACUUCAACGGCGGCAACGACGGGGUGAAGAGCUACUUCAACAAGUCCAUCGGCAGGCCGGCCAGCAACAACAGCAGCAACAACAACUUCAGCGGCUACGGCGGCAAGAAGGGCGCUGCCGACGGCAAGAAGAAGCACGCCAAGAACGAGCGAGGGGACAACAACCAUGGCGCGGCCUCGGAGAAGCGGUUCAAGACGCUGCCGGCGUCCGAGGCGCUGCCCCGGAACGAGCCCAUCGGCGGCUACAUCUUCGUCUGCAACAACGACACCAUGGAGGAGAACCUCAAGAGGCAGCUCUUCGGGUUGCCAUCCAGAUACAGAGAUUCAGUGAGGGCGAUCAGGCCGGGGCUGCCCCUCUUCCUCUACAACUACUCCACCCAUCAGCUCCACGGCAUCUUCGAGGCUGCGAGCUUUGGCGGAGCGAACAUCGACCCGGCGGCGUGGGAGGACAAGAAGUGCAACGGCGAGUCUCGCUUCCCUGCACAGGUGCGGGUGGCUACAAGGAAGAUCUGCGACCCGCUGGAGGAGGACGCCUUCCGCCCGAUCCUGCACCACUACGACGGGCCCAAGUUCCGGCUGGAGCUCAGCAUCACCGAGGCUCUCUCCCUUCUCGAUAUAUUUGAAGACAAGGACGAUUGA